AUACGUAGGUGACAAGCGUUAUCCGGAUUUACUGGGCGUAAAGGGCGUGUAGGCGGUCUUGUAAGUCAGAUGUGAAAUUCCUGAGCUCAACUCGGGCGCUGCAUCUGAAACUGCAGGACUUGAGUGCUGGAGGGGAGAGUGGAAUUCCUAGUGGAGCGGUAAAAUGCGCAGAUAUUAGGAAGAACACCGGUGGCGAAGGCGGCUAUCUGGACAGAAACUGACGCUGAGGCGCGAAAAGGUGGGGAGGAAACAGGAUUAGAUACCCUGGUAGUCCACGGCGGAAACGAAGGAUUCCAGGUGGAGGGGGUAUCUACCCCCUCUGGGCCGCAGUUAACACAAUAAGGAUUCCGCCUGGGGAGGACGGCCGCAAGGAUGAAACUCAAAUGAAUUGACGGGG
RNAcentral lists this ribosomal RNA (397 nucleotides) under uncultured bacterium. Its description in RNAcentral is "partial 16S ribosomal RNA". It matches the Rfam family "Bacterial small subunit ribosomal RNA", at positions 523 to 918 of the family's 1533-position model. The record is from RNAcentral.